UACGAGGGGGGCAAGCGUUGUUCGGAAUUAUUGGGCGUAAAGAGCUCGUAGGCGGUUUGUCGCGUCGUCUGUGAAAUCCCACGGCUCAACUGUGGGCUUGCAGUCGAUACGGGCAGGCUAGAGUGCGGAAGGGGCAACUGGAAUUCUCGGUGUAGCGGUGAAAUGCGUAGAUAUCGAGAGGAACACCUGCGGCGAAGGCGGGUUGCUGGGCCGACACUGACGCUGAUGCGCGAAAGCCAGGGGAGCGAACGGG
This 253-nucleotide ribosomal RNA is filed under the name uncultured bacterium. RNAcentral's name for it is "partial 16S ribosomal RNA". It matches the Rfam family "Bacterial small subunit ribosomal RNA", at positions 524 to 776 of the family's 1533-position model. The record is from RNAcentral.